GGCCCCUCCCCUACCCCGAAGUAGCCAUUCCGCAGAGGUGGGGAGACUCGCGUGUAGCUCAAUGCCCACGCACUUAGCCGAUGGGAAAUUACGAAUUGAUGACCAGUUGGCUCUUGGAUCUGAGGAAAAAACUCCAGAGUCAGAGGGAACUCUCGAAGUUUUGCCCGGAGCAAACGGAAGGGUGGCAUUGCCAUCGCCUAAGAUGGGAAAAUGGCAGGUGUCACAGGUUGCUGGGGAAGGUCGGAGACCAGCUGAGGGCCCCGGAGCCUUCCUGGAGUUUCCCAUCCAGCCGGUCUCGGUUUCCGCAUCCGUCGGAUUCCUUAUGACGUUGAGGGUGCUGGCGUCUGGGUCCUUUAUGAUACAGAGGGUGCCCCCGUCUCACCCCGGGCGCCUCCGCGCUCCCGCCUCCUCCUGGCAGGCAACCUGGUGCGCGGCUCCGGACCUGGCGACCCACGACCGGCUGGUCACUUGCUGCCGCCUCGCAAAGGCGCAUCUCUAGUCCAGUGGUGAGCUGCGGCCGGGUCGCUGCAACUCGCUCCAGGACUCGGGACUUGUGGCCUCGGUGUCCCUCGCGGAGCCCUCGGUGUGUCGCUUGCAGGCUCUUUUUUUGAAGAAAGCAGGGAGGGAAUGGCCUUGUGAGAGACUCCAAGAGCAAAGAGCGACCCUCACAAGGCCCAAGUCCUCCCAGAACUCAGGGAAGCUGUCGCUUCUGACAGAAGAAGGGAGAGAAAGCUCCCUCCUGUGUGUCCCUGGUGGUCUAGUGGCUAGGAUUCGGCGCUUUCACCGCCGCGGCCCGGGUUCGAUUCCCGGUCAGGGAAUUGUUUUACACUGGCCGCCCUCCCGCAGGAAUCUUCCUUCACUACGCUAUCAGCCGGCCUGCUCCAAGGGCCAGAGGCAGAACAGUCUCCGCAGCGGGGUUAAAGCCGGGCGAAGGAGGGCAAGUGCUGGUGGACCACCUCUCACGACACACCGUUCCUAUUUAUCUCCGUGUCCGUCAUCCGCGGAAGCAGCUUUAGAGAGCGACUGAGCUAGCUCAGAGAUGCCAGCCCCUGUGAAGCUGCACCCAAUAAGCCCACCUUCUUUCCCGUCGCCACGCCGGAGACGCCCAUCGGGCUGAGCUGCGAAUAACUAAGAGAGAGGCCAAGCCAAGUCGUGGCGUUUGUGGCAGCCCCGGACACGGGCACCAGCCAGUCAGCGGAGCCUCCUCACCUCCGUUGCCAGCGAAGGCGCUCAUUAGGCCUUAGGAAGAGGCGACCGGAGGCGAUGCCCGCGAAUUUGUUAGGGGGGUAAGCGGCGGGUGAGGUCCUCGAGGGCGGUCCCGUUUGCUGAUUGAGCGGUAGACGGAGGCGAUGUUCGCUGACCCAACAAGGACAGCAGGUGGAGUAGGCACAGAUGGAAAACUGCUGCCGGUGCCCUAAGCAGAAGGCAGGUGGAAAAAUCAGCACUAGGACGUCGAAGCGAUGGUACCACAGUCAAAUCCCACGAUGUCUACACUCUACCAAGCACUUGCGCACGCUCCCCCUUUUCCAUUCAGUACCCCUCCCAAGAGGGGUUCGGAAGAACCCCGAGUCCACUGUAAGCUCAGGGGAGAGCGGGAGCCAGGGAGGUGAAGUGCGCAGACUCGGCAGAGGCGGUGUGCAGAACCGCGGGGGG
Molecule: RNA transcript, 1653 nt
Organism: Pan troglodytes (chimpanzee)
Lineage: Eukaryota; Metazoa; Chordata; Mammalia; Primates; Hominidae
Exons: 1
Source: RefSeq, a predicted model, not a curated record